GAUGAACGCUGGCGGCGUGCUUAACACAUGCAAGUCGAACGGAAAGGCCCUUUUGGGUGUACUCUAGUGGCGAACGGGGGAGUAACACGUGAGUAACCUUCCCUUGCCUUCGGGAUAAGUUCAGGAAACUGGGGCUAAUACCGGUUAGGAAUCCUUGCUGCAUGGUGGGGGUUGGAAAGCUCCGGCGGCUUUGGAUGGACUCGUGGCCGUUUAUCGUGUUGGCGGGGUAGAGGCUUACCAAGGCGACGACGGGUAGCCGGCGUGAGAGGAGGACCGGCGACACUGGAGGUGAGACACGGUCCAGAGUCCUACGGGAGGCAGAGGCGGGGAAUAGUGGACGCAGGGCGCAAUCCUGCUCCAGGCAUACCGGGUGGGUGAAGAAGGCCUGCGGGUUGUAUAGCCCUUUUGGGGGGGAAGAAAAGUAGCAGGUGAAGAGCCGGCUGUUCUGACGGUACCUAAAGAAUAAGCACCGGCUAACUUCGUG
RNAcentral lists this ribosomal RNA (484 nucleotides) under uncultured bacterium. RNAcentral's name for it is "partial 16S ribosomal RNA". It matches the Rfam family "Bacterial small subunit ribosomal RNA", at positions 28 to 507 of the family's 1533-position model. The record is from RNAcentral.